RNAcentral lists this ribosomal RNA (682 nucleotides) under bacterium enrichment culture clone F8 1.705-33. RNAcentral's name for it is "bacterial SSU rRNA". It matches the Rfam family "Bacterial small subunit ribosomal RNA", at positions 8 to 660 of the family's 1533-position model. The record is from RNAcentral.
AGAGUUUGAUCAUGGCUCAGGACGAACGCUGGCGGCGUGCCUAACACAUGCAAGUCGAACGGAGAAUUUCAAAGAGCUUGCUCUAAGAGAUUUUUAGUGGCGGACGGGUGAGUAACGCGUGGGUAACCUACCCAUAAAGCCGGGACAACCCUUGGAAACGAGGGCUAAUACCGGAUAAUCUUAAGUCUUGGCAUCAAGGCAUAAGGAAAGGUGGCCGAUGAGAAUGCUACCGAUUAUGGAUGGACCCGCGUCUGAUUAGCUGGUUGGUGGGGUAAAGGCCUACCAAGGCGACGAUCAGUAGCCGGCCUGAGAGGGUGAACGGCCACACUGGGACUGAGACACGGCCCAGACUCCUACGGGAGGCAGCAGUGGGGAAUCUUCCGCAAUGGACGAAAGUCUGACGGAGCAACGCCGCGUGUAUGAUGAAGGCCUUCGGAUUGUAAAGUACUGUCUUUGGGGAAGAACGAAGUACUUGAGAAAAUUGAGUACAAAUGACGGUACCCAAGGAGGAAGCCCCGGCUAACUACGUGCCAGCAGCCGCGGUAAUACGUAGGGGGCAAGCGUUGUCCGGAAUUAUUGGGCGUAAAGGGCGCGUAGGCGGAUAAUUAAGUCCGGUGUGAAAGAUCAGGCUCAACCCUGAGAGUGCAUCGGAAACUGGCUAUCUUGAGGACAGGAGGGGAAG